GCAUAUCAAUAAGCGGAGGAAAAAGAAACCAACAGGGAUUGCCUCAGUAACGGCGAGUGAAGCGGCAACAGCUCAAAUUUGAAAUCUGGCCUCUUUGGGGUCCGAGUUGUAAUUUGUAGAGGAUGUUUCGGGUACCGCUCCGGUUUAAAUUUCUUGGAACAGAAUGUCAGAGAGGGUGAGAAUCCCGUCUUGGACCGGUGGUAGGACCUAUGUGAAACUCCUUCGACGAGUCGAGUUGUUUGGGAAUGCAGCUCAAAAUGGGUGGUAAAUUUCAUCUAAAGCUAAAUAUUGGCCAGAGACCGAUAGCGCACAAGUAGAGUGAUCGAAAGAUGAAAAGCACUUUGAAAAGAGAGUUAAACAGUAUGUGAAAUUGUUGAAAGGGAAGCGCUUGCAACCAGACUUGAGCGCGACGGUUCCCCCUUCCUUUUGGUUGGGUUACUCCGUCGUGUCCAGGCCAACAUCGGUUUUGGGGGUUGGUUAAAGGCGCCUUGAAUGUAUCUACCCUUCGGGCGUAGACUUAUAGCUCGGCGUGUCAUGCGACCUCCCGGGACCGAGGAACGCGCUUCGGCUCGGAUGUUGGCGUAAUGGUUGUCAGCGACCCGUCUUGAAACACGGACCAAGGAGUCUAACAUCUAUGCGAGUGUUUGGGUGUCAAACCCGGAACGCGAAAUGAAAGUGAACGGAGGUAGGAAGCCUUGGGCUGCACUAUCGACCGAUCCUGAUGUCUUCGGAUGGAUUUGAGUAAGAGCAUAGCUGUUGGGACCCGAAAGAUGGUGAACUAUGCCUGAAUAGGGUGAAGCCAGAGGAAACUCUGGUGGAGGCUCGCAGCGGUUUCUGACGUGCAAAUCGAUCGUCAAAUUUGGGUAUAGGGGCGAAAGACUAAUCGAACCAUCUGGUAGCUGGUUCCUGCCGAAG
Molecule: ribosomal RNA, 915 nt
Filed under: Exophiala mesophila
Lineage: Eukaryota; Fungi; Ascomycota; Eurotiomycetes; Chaetothyriales; Herpotrichiellaceae
Description: LSU rRNA
Rfam family: Eukaryotic large subunit ribosomal RNA
Source: RNAcentral